UCCUACGGGAGGCAGCAGUGGGGAAUCUUGCACAAUGGAGGAAACUCUGAUGCAGCGAUGCCGCGUGAGUGAAGAAGGCCCUUGGGUUGUAAAGCUCUUUCGUCGGGGAAGAAAAUGACUGUACCCGAAUAAGAAGGUCCGGCUAACUUCGUGCCAGCAGCCGCGGUAAUACGAAGGGACCUAGCGUAGUUCGGAAUUACUGGGCUUAAAGAGUUCGUAGGUGGUUGAAAAAGUUAGUGGUGAAAUCCCAGAGCUUAACUCUGGAACUGCCAUUAAAACUUUUCAGCUAGAGUAUGAUAGAGGAAAGCAGAAUUUCUAGUGUAGAGGUGAAAUUCGUAGAUAUUAGAAAGAAUACCAAUUGCGAAGGCAGCUUUCUGGAUCAUUACUGACACUGAGGAACGAAAGCAUGGGUAGCGAAGAGGAUUAGAUACCCUCGUAGUCCAUGCCGUAAACGAUGUGUGUUAGACGUUGGAAAUUUAUUUUCAGUGUCGCAGCGAAAGCGAUAAACACACCGCCUGGGGAGUUCGACCGCAAGGUUAAAACUCAAAUGAAUUGACGG
RNAcentral lists this ribosomal RNA (559 nucleotides) under uncultured bacterium. RNAcentral describes it as "bacterial SSU rRNA". It matches the Rfam family "Bacterial small subunit ribosomal RNA", at positions 337 to 916 of the family's 1533-position model. The record is from RNAcentral.